GCAGAAGGGCGUGGAACUCGAGCAAGCAAAAUCUCUCAUUGGACCAGCGAAAGCCGAUCAAGCAGUUGGAGUAGCUGCCCAAAAUUUCAGCUAGUAGAGAGGAAGGAAGCUCGACGAUUUGAGAAGUUUUCUCUUCCAAGAUUCAGUUCGUACUUCAUGUUAUUUGCAAUUGAUUCUUGCCUUGUUUUUACCUGCUAUGAGUGGCUAAAUUACUUACGCUUAGUUAGGCACUUAUGAAAC
RNAcentral lists this long non-coding RNA (240 nucleotides) under Gossypium barbadense (sea-island cotton). RNAcentral's name for it is "long non-coding RNA (GBAR_LNC018026)". The record is from RNAcentral. Lineage: Eukaryota; Viridiplantae; Streptophyta; Magnoliopsida; Malvales; Malvaceae.